RNAcentral lists this ribosomal RNA (1331 nucleotides) under Hanseniaspora valbyensis NRRL Y-1626. RNAcentral describes it as "SSU rRNA". It matches the Rfam family "Eukaryotic small subunit ribosomal RNA", at positions 454 to 1823 of the family's 1831-position model. The record is from RNAcentral. Lineage: Eukaryota; Fungi; Ascomycota; Saccharomycetes; Saccharomycodales; Saccharomycodaceae.
AUUCAGGGAGGUAGUGACAAUAAAUAACGAUACAGGGCUUUAUGUCUUGUAAUUGGAAUGAGUACAAUGUAAAUACCUUAACGAGGAACAAUUGGAGGGCAAGUCUGGUGCCAGCAGCCGCGGUAAUUCCAGCUCCAAUAGCGUAUAUUAAAGUUGUUGCAGUUAAAAAGCUCGUAGUUGAACUUUGGGCUUGGAGAAUCGGUCCGACUAUGUCGUGUACUGUCUUCUCCAGGUCUUUCCUUCUGGUUCUCAAUUGGGGCUUGCUCCUUUUGGUGAUCCAGGAUUUUUACUUUGAAAAAAUUAGAGUGUUCAAAGCAGGCGUUUUGCUCGAAUAUAUUAGCAUGGAAUAAUAGAAUAGGACGAAUGGUUCUAUUUUGUUGGUUUCUAGGACCAUCGUAAUGAUUAAUAGGGACGGUCGGGGGCAUCAGUAUUCAGUUGUCAGAGGUGAAAUUCUUGGAUUUACUGAAGACUAACUACUGCGAAAGCAUUUGCCAAGGACGUUUUCAUUAAUCAAGAACGAAAGUUAGGGGAUCGAAGAUGAUCAGAUACCGUCGUAGUCUUAACCAUAAACUAUGCCGACUAGGGAUCGGGCGGUGCCUUUUAUUGGCCCACUCGGCACCUUACGAGAAAUCAAAGUUUUUGGGUUCUGGGGGGAGUAUGGUCGCAAGGCUGAAACUUAAAGGAAUUGACGGAAGGGCACCACCAGGAGUGGAGCCUGCGGCUUAAUUUGACUCAACACGGGGAAACUCACCAGGUCCAGACACAAUAAGGAUUGACAGAUUGAGAGCUCUUUCUUGAUUUUGUGGGUGGUGGUGCAUGGCCGUUCUUAGUUGGUGGAGUGAUUUGUCUGCUUAAUUGCGAUAACGAACGAGACCUUAACCCUUAAAUAGGUUGGCUGGCUUUCGCUGGUUAACCUUCUUAUGGGGACUAUCGAUUUCAAGUCGAUGGAAGUUUGAGGCAAUAACAGGUCUGUGAUGCCCUUAGACGUUCUGGGCCGCACGCGCGCUACACUGACGGAGCCAGCGAGCAUAUCCUUGACCGAGAGGUUUGGGUAAUCUUGUGAAACUCCGUCGUGCUGGGGAUAGAGCAUUGUAAUUAUUGCUCUUCAACGAGGAAUUCCUAGUAAGCGCAAGUCAUCAGCUUGCGUUGAUUACGUCCCUGCCCUUUGUACACACCGCCCGUCGCUAGUACCGAUUGAAUGGCUUAGUGAGGCUUCAGGAUUUGCUUAGAUCGAGGGGCAACUCUCUUUCAGAGCGGAGAAUCUAGUCAAACUUGGUCAUUUAGAGGAACUAAAAGUCGUAACAAGGUUUCCGUAGGUGAACCUGCGGAAG